UACGUAGGGGGCAAGCGUUGUCCGGAUUUAUUGGGCGUAAAGAGCGUGUAGGCGGCCAGACAGGUCCGUUGUGAAAACUCGAGGCUCAACCUCGAGACGUCGAUGGAAACCGUCUGGCUAGAGUCCGGAAGAGGUGAGUGGAAUUCCGAGUGUAGAGGUGAAAUUCGUAGAUAUUCGGAGGAACACCAGUGGCGAAGGCGGCUCACUGGUCCAUUACUGACGCUGAGGUGCGAAAGCGUGGGGAGCAAACAGG
Molecule: ribosomal RNA, 253 nt
Filed under: uncultured bacterium
Lineage: Bacteria
Description: partial 16S ribosomal RNA
Rfam family: Bacterial small subunit ribosomal RNA
Source: RNAcentral